UAGGGAAUCUUCGGCAAUGGACGGAAGUCUGACCGAGCAACGCCGCGUGAGUGAAGAAGGUUUUCGGAUCGUAAAGCUCUGUUGUUAGAGAAGAACGUUGGUAGGAGUGGAAAAUCUACCAAGUGACGGUCACUAACCAGAAAGGGACGGCUAACUACGUGCCAGCAGCCGCGGUAAUACGUAGGGCCCGAGCGUUGUCCGGAGUUAUUGGGCGUAAAGCGAGCGCAGGCGGUUCUUUAAGUCUGAAGUUAAAGGCAGUGGCUUAACCAUUGUACGCUUUGGAAACUGGAGGACUUGAGUGCAGAAGGGGAGCGUGGAAUUCCAUGUGUAGCGGUGAAAUGCGUAGAUAUAUAGGGGAACACCGGUGGCGAACGCGGCUCUCUGGUCUGUAACUGACGCUGAGGCUCGAAAGCGUGGGGAGCAAACAGG
RNAcentral lists this ribosomal RNA (429 nucleotides) under Bacillota bacterium. Its description in RNAcentral is "Firmicutes bacterium partial 16S ribosomal RNA". It matches the Rfam family "Bacterial small subunit ribosomal RNA", at positions 355 to 776 of the family's 1533-position model. The record is from RNAcentral. Lineage: Bacteria; Bacillati; Bacillota.